RNAcentral lists this unclassified non-coding RNA (444 nucleotides) under Stegodyphus dumicola. Its description in RNAcentral is "alpha-2Da adrenergic receptor-like, transcript variant X2". Lineage: Eukaryota; Metazoa; Arthropoda; Arachnida; Araneae; Eresidae. The record is from RNAcentral.
CCCAAGAGAAUCCAUUGCACGUGGCCACUGGCCUAACAUUUCUGAAAGUGCAGGAAAAUGAUAAAAAAUUUGUACAGCAUCCUUCUGAAUAGACUCUAGAUAUAAAAGGCUCAAUGGAUUGUAUGAGGAGCACAAGUUAUUUUCCUCUUGGCUACAAUUGGCUUCGAAAAGUUAAAUUGUAACCCUGUAGGCAACGGAGGAAAGAAAUUUUGAUUCGCGCAGUUGGACUAUAGCAGGAAAGGGAAGGGUAUUUUAUUCGCGCAGUUGCAGCUCACCCAUUACUUGUAUAUUAAAAUUCCUUUUGUCUUUCUACACACGGAACUAAACCUUUCUAAUCUUUCUUAAAAAAUCGAAAAGGAUCAAUAAAAGGGCUUAAUGAUAAUGUAAAGCUUCGUAUAUUAUAUAAUGUACUAAAUAUAAUAAACACUGAUGAAUUUCACUGCA